UGGACAGAUUAUUAUAUUCGACUGUAUUCACGGCGUGAAAUAGGGGAUUACAUUGUUUUUAAAACGGAAAGUGAAUCAAUUAACAUAAUAGACUCCU
This 97-nucleotide microRNA precursor is filed under the name Nicotiana sylvestris (wood tobacco). RNAcentral describes it as "MIR6152 microRNA precursor family". It matches the Rfam family "MIR6152 microRNA precursor family". The record is from Rfam by way of RNAcentral. RNAcentral also lists the same sequence under 1 other name. Lineage: Eukaryota; Viridiplantae; Streptophyta; Magnoliopsida; Solanales; Solanaceae.